UUGAACGCUGGCGGCAUGCCUUACACAUGCAAGUCGAACGGCAGCACGGGGGCAACCCUGGUGGCGAGUGGCGAACGGGUGAGUAAUACAUCGGAACGUGUCCUGUAGUGGGGGAUAGCCCGGCGAAAGCCGGAUUAAUACCGCAUACGCUCUACGGAGGAAAGGGGGGGAUCUUCGGACCUCCCGCUACAGGGGCGGCCGAUGGCAGAUUAGCUAGUUGGUGGGGUAAAGGCCUACCAAGGCGACGAUCUGUAGCUGGUCUGAGAGGACGACCAGCCACACUGGGACUGAGACACGGCCCAGACUCCUACGGGAGGCAGCAGUGGGGAAUUUUGGACAAUGGGCGAAAGCCUGAUCCAGCAAUGCCGCGUGUGUGAAGAAGGCCUUCGGGUUGUAAAGCACUUUUGUCCGGAAAGAAAACGCUCUGGUUAAUACCCGGGGCGGAUGACGGAACCGGAAGAAAAGCACGGCUAGUCCGUC
RNAcentral lists this ribosomal RNA (480 nucleotides) under Burkholderiaceae bacterium AcOx35H. RNAcentral describes it as "bacterial SSU rRNA". It matches the Rfam family "Bacterial small subunit ribosomal RNA", at positions 29 to 507 of the family's 1533-position model. Lineage: Bacteria; Pseudomonadati; Pseudomonadota; Betaproteobacteria; Burkholderiales; Burkholderiaceae. The record is from RNAcentral.